RNAcentral lists this long non-coding RNA (1320 nucleotides) under Hordeum vulgare. Its description in RNAcentral is "long non-coding RNA (HVUL_LNC013176)". The record is from RNAcentral. Lineage: Eukaryota; Viridiplantae; Streptophyta; Magnoliopsida; Poales; Poaceae.
UUUGGAGAAGGGUGCGAGAACCAUUUUAUGCCCGGUAACUUAUGUGGAAAUACCAUGACAAUUUGCAUACCACAAAUGUGAUAACUUGUGUAGCCAAAGCUCAGUAAAUUUUGAUAAUUUUUUUACAAAAAUGCACCAACAUGGAAUCUAAUUUCGAAUAUAUCAUUGCGACCAAUCUUUUAGGUGAAAAUGUUUUUUUAAUCUGACUGACGGUUAAAGUUAUAAAAUAGUUAUGAAUUUUUAAAAUAGAAAGAAUCUAGAAUGACAUCAACAUUUUCGUGCCUUUGUAUACGCAGCAUUUAGUUAGAGAAAGAAUGCGCAUGAAAAGACAUGAAUCAUUCUAAUGCAUGUAUUUAUUAGAGAGACGGAGGGUGGGUGCGGACGUGUGAUGGAUGGUUAGGCUUUAACAACCACAAUGUUGUCAGUUAUCAUGGUCCAUAUAUAAAAUAUAUAAAAAAUCAUAUGAUAUAUGCAAAUAAAAGUAAACAUCAAAACAUAUACGUGAAAAUAUAUUCAUAUAUAUGAAAAAUGUUAAACCUGUAUCAAAAUUAUUUUGGACGGAUAUAAAAAAUAUAUAAUGUGUACAAAGAAAAUAAGAAUUUAAAUAUUUAUAUAAAAAUGUUUAAUUAUUAACUUAAAAACGUUAAAAUCUAGUUAAAAAAUAUUCUUGAUGUAACCAAAAAACCUGUAGAGAUGUGUCAAUAACAUUGUAGAGAAAAAAUUAAAAAGAAAACAAAAAAAUCAGAGAAAAUCUAGUGCAUAAAAGAAAUAUGAAACAAUAAAACUAAAAAAACCUGAGAAGAAACUAGGAAGAAAAGAAUUGUAGAAACGAAAAGAAAAGUUACAGUCAGUGAACACAGAGAAUGAAACAAAGGAAACUGAUGAAAAAUAAGGAAAAACAAAAAUAAAAAUGAAACAUGAGUAAAACAAACAACUGGCAUAGAAAACCAGAGAGAAAACAAAAACAUUCUGAAGAAAAAAAAAGGAAAAGAAGUAAUGUGCGCAACAUCGAUUAGACCUGGGUGAACGAAAAACACGUACGUUACCGGGCCGGCCCAUAUGCCUCGUUGCCGAGGGCCCUGAGGGCGAGACGGAUCCAUAGAAGGAAUCGUUCCUUGACUUAAAUUUGAGAGCAACUAGUUAGCGAGCAGUCAUUCGAAAGUCUGCCAGCAAGAACUCCCACGCACCAUCACUUGACACGUUUUUAGCCACCGUCACGUGUCGUGCUCUGAAAGUUUUCUCAGAAUUUUAUUUUUUUAUUUUUUUGCACCUGUUUUUGGCUUUUUAGAUUAUUUUUUUUGUGUUUCGGUUUUUCACCGG